UGAUUUCGUGAUUGAAUAUAGUG
This 23-nucleotide non-coding RNA is filed under the name Arabidopsis thaliana (thale cress). Lineage: Eukaryota; Viridiplantae; Streptophyta; Magnoliopsida; Brassicales; Brassicaceae. The record is from RNAcentral.